This 497-nucleotide ribosomal RNA is filed under the name uncultured bacterium. RNAcentral describes it as "partial 16S ribosomal RNA". It matches the Rfam family "Bacterial small subunit ribosomal RNA", at positions 28 to 507 of the family's 1533-position model. The record is from RNAcentral.
GAUGAACGCUGGCGGCGUGCCUAAUACAUGCAAGUCGAGCGAACGGACGAGAAGCUUUCUUCUCUGAUGUUAGCGGCGGACGGGUGAGUAACACGUGGAUAACCUACCUAUAAGACUGGGAUAACUUCGGGAAACCGGAGCUAAUACCGGAUAAUAUUUUGAACCGCAUGGUUAAAAAGUGAAAGACGGUCUUGCUGUCACUUAUAGAUGGAUCCGCGCUGCAUUAGCUAGUUGGUAAGGUAACGGCUUACCAAGGCAACGAUGCAUAGCCGACCUGAGAGGGUGAUCGGCCACACUGGAACUGAGACACGGUCCAGACUCCUACGGGAGGCAGCAGUAGGGAAUCUUCCGCAAUGGGCGAAAGCCUGACGGAGCAACGCCGCGUGAGUGAUGAAGGUCUUCGGAUCGUAAAACUCUGUUAUUAGGGAAGAACAUAUGUGUAAGUAACUGUGCACAUCUUGACGGUACCUAAUCAGAAAGCCACGGCUAACUACGUG